This 370-nucleotide long non-coding RNA is filed under the name Glycine max (soybean). RNAcentral describes it as "long non-coding RNA (GMAX_LNC003052)". The record is from RNAcentral. Lineage: Eukaryota; Viridiplantae; Streptophyta; Magnoliopsida; Fabales; Fabaceae.
CAUGCAUUUAAAUUUUUUACAGAAAAAUAAAAAAUGAACAGUGUGAUCCAUUAAAACCUAACUGAAGCUGAGCUAUACAUAGUUGCAUCGAUCCAAUUUUGAUGCAUGCAUUGUGACAUUUAGCAGCAGUGCAGGCAAUAAAGUCAUUUCACCUCGUACCCUUCCCAUUUAAUCAAAACCUAUCCUUGUAAAAUUUGGAUUUAUUUUCGCCCUUUCUCCCUUGGGAACAAGUCCCCUCCUGUCUCUCUGCCACCAUUCUCACACUCGAGUUGCUUCCCAAACCAAAGGGCAUUACGGUAAAAAUGCCGCCUGAAACAUCCCAAACCUGAGGAGGACCCAGAAUUUAUGGAUGUGCCUCGCUUUUCAUGGA